GGCUGAAUUUCAGUAUCUUGGCGGGCGGCGGCUUCGUUCACAUCGAAGAUGUCAGCGGUUCAAAUCCGUUAUCACCCACCA
This 81-nucleotide transfer RNA is filed under the name Streptomyces aqsuensis. Its description in RNAcentral is "tRNA-Val". Lineage: Bacteria; Bacillati; Actinomycetota; Actinomycetes; Kitasatosporales; Streptomycetaceae. RNAcentral also lists the same sequence under 1 other name. The record is from RNAcentral.